Gallus gallus (chicken) is the source of this 4440-nucleotide long non-coding RNA. Lineage: Eukaryota; Metazoa; Chordata; Aves; Galliformes; Phasianidae. The record is from Ensembl.
GAGCUUUCUAUGAGGGUCAUGGAGGCAUUUCCUUGGCACUAUGCUGACUGAAUCCUCUGCUGGGUGACUACAGCUCCCAGUACAUAGGUGGUGGUGUAGCUGCAGUAAUGAAAGCUCUAAAAUUUCUUCCCAGUUUAGACAAAGGAAGUAAAAAUAUAAGUUGUUUAUUUAAUCUUCCCAAUGCCACUCGAAAGUCUGGAGCUAGGUGCUUGAAUCCUUUAUUGAUUCUGAAGCAGAAGUGAACUUGCCACACUGAUGUGCAGACAGCUGCAGGUGCGACUGCUGGUCUCUGUCAGCAUCAGCUAUGGCUUUGUAUGGAUCCAGCGUGUUACUGUAAGUGGCAUCUGCUCUGCCUGUAGACUGGCUCACAGGACACCUUCAGACCUGAGACUGCUUCUUUUUUCCACUUCUAGCAGGAAGGUGGUUAUGAGAGCCAGCACUUCCUUUCUCAUCUUCCUCCAGAGAAGGCUUCCUCCUGGGUCUGGGCAUGGGCCCCUGCCGCUGUAUUGCUGAUCACACUCUUAAGCAGCUCAGGGCACUCCAUUCAACAGCUCUGUCUCCUAAGGGCUGGCAGUGGAGGCAAGGGUAUCUUGCUGGAGAUCCCUACCUGCUGGCAGUCUUCUAAAGGGUCCUGUUCUCACUCUUCAACCCACGUCAUUGGAAGGGGAGGACUUGGAUCAGCAGGAUCCUUGGAUCCUAAUUGAAUCCAAGAACAAAAAGAAGGCCAAGCCUAGAAGGCCAAAAAAAUCCAAUUAGAGGAUCUGGGAACCUCAGUUCCUCUAGGAAUAAGACCAGAAAUAACUCAAAAGGCAAAGGAAAUCCAGAAUAGACUAGCAGGGUUGACACCCAAAGAGUGGCCCCCUGCCUACACCACACUACAUGUAACACAGCCACUGAAUUUAUGGAUUUGUUGCAACAAUUUAAAUACCUCAGGAGAGUGUACCAGCCUGGCUUUUGAGAUUAUGGGAUAUGGGGGCUGAAAGUGUGGUAAGUAAUGGGCCUGAGAUUUCCAGACUUGCAUCCAUUACCACAAAUCUGGCCCCCAGACUCAGGCUGUAUGUGACGGUAAUACAUAAUGAAGAAAUCCAUUAUUUCAGUGGAUAAUGGUAGCAUGUAGAAUUACAUGGCCAAACAAAAGUGACAUACCAAUAGAUACUGUUUUAUGGACCUCAGUCCAUGAAGAACUCCAAAAUUAUAUUAGAGAACUAGUGAUAAAGGAGGCCAUUUAUGAUGAUGCAUUUGAGACUCCUGACCUGUUUAAAUUUUUGGCAGGAAUGAAGGACCUCAUACUACAACAAGCCCCUCCCCACCACUAUGGCACACUGGUGUCCAUACUGAACCCUUUAGUGGACUUAGAGGUCAUGAUCUGGGAAAGACAGAGAACCCUCAGAACAGGUGCAAUUACUGAAUGUUGGAAGGGGCUGAGGUCCUCUCUGUUAACUAAAAGCAGGAGAUGAGCUGCAUGGACUCCUCAACUGGGGACCCUUAUGGGUAUCCUGAAAGCAGAUGCUUAAUGACUUAAUCUGGGCUGGGGUUCAAUUUGCUAAAAUUGGGCUGAUGAUCAAUCAUGUCCUCCUCCAGCUAUGGAGUCAGUUGAAGGACAAGUAAAAGUUUCAAAAUAUCCCUGAAAAAGCAAGGGUAAGAAUUACUGAAAAAAAAUACGAACGAGAACAUAGAACCUGGAAGAUUUCCUAGUUCCCAAUAAAAGGAAAAGCCUCCUCAAGUAACUUGGGCCACUAUGCCUGAGCCACCUGAGGAAGAAGAAUUGGCAAUUACUCAGUUAAUGGCAUGGCACAAGAUGCCAGCCCCCCUGCACCUAGGGCCACUGGGCAGGACCGGAGGCCCUAUGUCAAACUGAAUAUUUUUUUGGUCCCAAAAGAAUAUACAGCAAGUUAUGGCACUAGUUGACAUGGGCCCUGAAGAUGCUACAGACAAUAUGGGCAUCUCCACUUAGGAUCCAAAUUAUAGGCACCAAAAGUUGGAUAAGACCUCAAAUCAGCAAUGAAAAUCUGCUCACUGGUCCUGGAAAUGUAGAAUUAGAAUGGCCUUGGAAGUUGCAAGUAGGAUCAAAGUGGUGUGGCCUUCUUGAACCCUGGGUGAGAUUAUUGAAGGUUGGGGGAUCACUAGUCCUUUCAAUAUUAGGUACAUGGCCUGCAGACACUGGUCAGCAUCCCAGUUUUCAUUGCUAAGGGGACCUUAAUUAUGUCUCUUGAAAAUCAUGAUCUCCCUCCCACCCUUGGUACCCAAUAUGGUUAUGAAGCCUCAGAUAUAGGGCCAAAGGGUAUGGUGCAGGCAGCUGGGACGUGCCCCAGGACAAGCUCAAGUGUUGACCCAGAACAGGAAUGUGACCUGUAUCUUGCCAUGGAGGGUGGACUUCCCCCUUUUGGUACCUCUGAAACAUCUAUGCUGUUAGUCUCUUUGAGUCCACAGGAUCACUGGGAGGAGCAAUGUGACAUUAAGAUGCUCCAGUGUCACUACAAGAUCAGAGUGAGACCUGAUGGUGGACUAUAUUGGGCAGAUAGAAUGAGAGCUGGACCUUCCCUGGUCCAAGCAACAGUGUACCUCCAGAAGAACCAUUGAGUACUGGCCCACAAAGGAACAUGUUCUUCCACCAAUCAUCAAUCAUCUCAUAUUUUGUCAACCUACACCAUGAUGGGGAAAUGGUACAAAGCAUUGUGGUAUACUGGACUGCUGUAAUGGAAAGGACUUACCUUCAAUCUGCUCAAUCACUGGUUCCAACUGUCAAGGGUUGGAGUGUAGUGGAAGUGCCAGGUCAUGGCCUGAAACAGUGAUUAAGCACCUGGUGGGAAGGCAGGGUCAACCCAGGGGAUCUCAGGUGUGUGCAAUGACUCUGAGUGAAUGGAAGGGGUGGAGCCAGGAUCCUCAUUUUAAGGGUUGGCGGUGAAGGUAAGGGUAUCUUGCUGGAGAUCCCUGCUUAUGUGAGGCCUUCCAGAGGUAAGCAGUUUUUCUUCCUUUGUUUCUGUGUCUAUGGCUGCUGCAUAUGGGCUUGUUCUCAUUUGCUGUAGCUUAGGAUCAUGCCACUCUGCUACUAUUGCUGGACUUUCCAUCACAUUAUAGCAUUACAUGCUGUGAUUUAAACCAUGAUUGAAGUUGUCAUUAAUUCAGUUUAAGAUGAUGCUCAAGCUUUUCCCACUUUUCCUUUAGGGGAAGAUGCAAACAAUUUUUUCAACUUAGAGCAAGAUUUUAAACACUUUUGGCCUUUUUAAGUCUUCCAAAAUGAGGCAAGGAGAACACACUGUUCAUAACUCUUGGUCUUCUCCUGUGUGUGACAGUAAUUCCUCAAAACAUUGUGCAAGACAAGUGAGAAGUGUCUUCAUCAAGGUAUUGAACUAAUGCCAGUAGCCCCUUAGGAAUGGUUACAAGGAGUUGUCACCACAACGUGACCUCCACUGAUGUUCCAAAGCCCAUUUGAAGCUGCAAGAGGAGUUGCCAAAACAAACAUCCAUACAAAAUAUACAAGGACUUGAAAUGAUGCCCAAUGUGUUUUUAUAUGUAUUGUAUCCUUUGUAUUUUUGUAAGAGGAAAGAUAAUGAAGGGAGUCAAAAAUGUGAAAUGUGUGCUCAUUCACAAUAUGAAUGAUGUUUACAAAACAUUCUUCUUAACAAUAGAGUUGGCAGUCCUACUUAAGGCCAAAGGAAGUCUAAAUCACUCUUUUGACCUUCCUUAGGCUGUAGGAACCUGGGCCUUCUCCCUCUCACAAGAUAUUAUAACAUAUUUCUGUAAUUAUUUGUGGAGGAAUGCGUAGGCACAAAUAUUGUUGACAGAGAGUAUAUGUUAAACAAAGCUAUUGAAAAUGUCUGCUUAAUGUUAACAGAAUGCUGUUAGGCAUUUAGAAAAUGAGUAAUAAAUUGCCACUGUUUCUAUAGGCAUGUACAGUGCUGUGCUUAUGUUUUGACAGAGCAAAACCAAACAAUGUAGUCACACUUACAACUCUUCUAUAUCAAAUUGAAACCACCCAGCUUCUUUUAUAGUGUGUAGGACAGAGCAAUGCCAUUAUUCACUCAGAACCACAUGAAGACCUUGUGUCUCUGAAAGAUUUGGAUCAGAUUUCCCAAAUCCUAGGUUAACAGCUGAACUUCUUUGCCAUCUUUCUCCUGUGUUCUUUUUAUCAGCUAGAUUAGCAAGGUACUGCUGUAUCCUAGCAGUAAUACAAUAAUACAAUUAUUUGUAUUGUUGCAAUAGGAAUGCAAAUAUUAUUGCAUAAUAUUGUAUUAUUGUUACAAUUGGAAAGAUUAAUGUGGUGGAAGGGCAAUUCAGGAGGGUAACAGCAAAGGGACCAGUGUAGAUGAGAUGGUAUUUCAAAGGAAAAGUGAAGGUUCUCACUGGUCUCUGAAGAUCUAGGCUCACAGGAAAGACUCCACAAGGGUGGGGUCUCCAACCAGAGAUCCUUCCCCAGUGGCAGUCAGCCCUUAAAUGAGG